This 909-nucleotide unclassified non-coding RNA is filed under the name Zea mays. RNAcentral's name for it is "misc RNA Zm00001eb267960". The record is from RNAcentral. Lineage: Eukaryota; Viridiplantae; Streptophyta; Magnoliopsida; Poales; Poaceae.
UUGGCUGUUUUGCACUCCCACCCCUCAAAAUUUCCUAGCCGCCACUCUCUUCCUCCUUCUCCCUCAGGCUGCAGCAGCCUGUUUUCUUCUCCUACGACAGCAGCACGCCAGCACGCAGGGGCCUCCCAUGGCCGCCAAGCUCCCUCAACGCCGGCGUCCUCCUCUCCUCCCCACGGCUGCAGCAGGGCGUUCUUCCCCAGCCUUCCCUGGGCGCGCACCCCUCCUCCCCCUUCUUCCUCCAGCCAGCAGGCGCCCAGAAAUUCCAGCAGGACCUCCAUGGUCGAGCUCGCCCAGGCCCCGACGCCUCUGCUCGGUCGCAGCUCUGUAGGCUCUCACCACCGCGCCCCCUCCUUCCUCGACGCGCUGAAGCUCCUCAGCCAUGGCGCCCAAGCCCUUCUUCUUCCUCUGCCCAACACCCCUCUUCUCCACUGCGUUAAGGGCAGGGAGCCUUUUUCUCCCCUACGCACAGGGAGCAGUUCCCUUGGCCGACGCCCUCUGUGGCAGCCAUGGCACCUCCCUCCCUCUCUGCUCGUGCGCAGGAAACCCCUCAAGCGCAGGGAAGAACAGCAGCCCACCCUUCAAAACACCAAGCAGCGGCUCCCAUCUCCCAGCAACCUCCAUGGACGCCCCCUGUUUUCUUCUUCGCGCAGCAGCAGGGAGCCCCUGCUCGGCCAGCUGCCAUGGCGUCCAAGUUUUCUGCGUAGCAGUGCCGGUUCAAAAAAAAAUAGCAGCCAUGAGAUCCCGUCCGUAUCGCUUGCAUUGACCCGAUUUGCGCAGCGCCUGCGCGCCGUCGUCGAAACCCGUGCUAGCCGUCAAAGCCAGUCGUCGCGCACGCGUGUUCGAUACAAGACCGGUCGGGUGCACCACGUGCUUGCACAACUCAAAUCCGAUCUCGUUCAGGUUGAUUGA